Molecule: ribosomal RNA, 851 nt
Filed under: Burkholderia cenocepacia
Lineage: Bacteria; Pseudomonadati; Pseudomonadota; Betaproteobacteria; Burkholderiales; Burkholderiaceae
Description: bacterial LSU rRNA
Rfam family: Bacterial large subunit ribosomal RNA
Source: RNAcentral
AGACCCCAUGAACCUUUACUGUAGCUUUGCAUUGGACUUUGAACCGAUCUGUGUAGGAUAGGUGGGAGGCUAUGAAACCGGAACGCUAGUUUCGGUGGAGCCGUCCUUGAAAUACCACCCUGGUUUGUUUGAGGUUCUAACCUUGGCCCGUGAUCCGGGUCGGGGACAGUGCAUGGUAGGCAGUUUGACUGGGGCGGUCUCCUCCCAAAGCGUAACGGAGGAGUACGAAGGUACGCUAGGUACGGUCGGAAAUCGUGCUGAUAGUGCAAUGGCAUAAGCGUGCUUAACUGCGAGACCGACAAGUCGAGCAGGUGCGAAAGCAGGUCAUAGUGAUCCGGUGGUUCUGUAUGGAAGGGCCAUCGCUCAACGGAUAAAAGGUACUCUGGGGAUAACAGGCUGAUACCGCCCAAGAGUUCAUAUCGACGGCGGUGUUUGGCACCUCGAUGUCGGCUCAUCUCAUCCUGGGGCUGUAGCCGGUCCCAAGGGUAUGGCUGUUCGCCAUUUAAAGAGGUACGUGAGCUGGGUUUAAAACGUCGUGAGACAGUUUGGUCCCUAUCUGCCGUGGGCGUUGGAUAUUUGAAGGGGGCUGCUCCUAGUACGAGAGGACCGGAGUGGACGAACCUCUGGUGUACCGGUUGUCACGCCAGUGGCAUCGCCGGGUAGCUAUGUUCGGAAGAGAUAACCGCUGAAAGCAUCUAAGCGGGAAACUCGCCUUAAGAUGAGAUAUCCCUGGGGACUAGAUCCCCUUGAAGGGUCGUUCGAGACCAGGACGUUGAUAGGUCAGGUGUGUAAGCGCAGUAAUGCGUUCAGCUAACUGAUACUAAUUGCCCGUAAGGCUUGAUCCUAUAACG